UGCGGGAUAUAAUUUUGAGAUACAUAAGUGGUCUGGAAAGAGCUGGGAAUCAUAUUUGUUCUGAUCGCGAAUAAUGUUCAAGUGCAGUUCAUAAUGAGCCAUUAUGGCCUGAAAACACUAUCUUAUCCGUAUACAGACAGAGAUUUCGGUCGCAGUCUCUUGUAUAGGUCUUUACCACCGCACUCUGUGGCCGGCUAACGAUGAUACGUAUCUUCAACUCAAUUACGUACGUUUGCACCAUAAUUAUAACUACUGGACCAAAUUCUGGAAUGAUGGCAUUCUAAAACCCAGUAAAGUAGUUCUAAGUCAGUGUGUUCGUCGUGGGUUACAAUUCAACCCUAUGUUCACUGAUGGGUUUAAAAGUUCCAAGGUUUACAGGCAUUUUGUAUACUUGCAGGGGGUGUUAUAUGGCCUUGCUAGUUCACAGAAAGUUUUGUGUAUUGACCUCAAUACCAUUAAAGCUCGAGCCUUUGAACGCCCUCAUGUUCUUGGGGACGAUGAUAAGACAGGUGCAACAAUGGGAUGUCUUGGGGUGUCAAAGGAUCUUGUUUGUUAUGUAACAUGUGAUGGUUCAAAUACUUUUUGUUUUUGGUCUUAUAAUGAUCGACGUGAAUCUGGUGACCAAUGGACUCUCAAAUAUAGUGUUGUUAGGAAUAGUUUGGUAUGGGGGGGCGGAUACAAUGUUUAUACCUGGUGCAGAUAUGGUGUUUAAACCCUAUGCAAUAAGUCUGAAUGCUCAUGUCAUCUUCUUUGGCACUUUAGAUUUGAUCUUUAGCUGGGACUUUGAAAGCCAGAAAUGUAAACUGUUCAACAGUCAAAGGUGAAGAUGGCCCAAAACCUGGUUAUGACUUUCCUUUCUUCACCCAACGUGCUUGCUUGAUACCUUUUUACAGUUUGGGCGAGAGGAAUAUUGCCGGCUCUACUCCAUUAUCAGGGAACCUUUUGAAGGGAGCAGAGAUUUCGAGUGCGGAAGCAUUACCAUGUGAGUGUGAUAAUCUAAAAGAUAGCUUUCAAGUUGUACGCGGUCGUUCACAUUGGAAUAUGUUGUUCAAGAGACGGUUUCUUUUUCCGAGUGAAAUGCAGUUAUGUGCAGGAAUGGAGCUGCCGGAUUAAAGAUGAUUUUCAGACUAUCCGAUCACCAUGAAUAAGAUUUCUACUUUUCAGAUUAGGUGGCUUCUUUAAAUAAAAAUUUAGAUUGGAUCAAAUCAAAGUAAUUUUGGAAUUUCCAGAAAAUAAUUCAUUAUUCAUAUAAUUUACAAGUUUUUUAAUUUUUUUCAA
This is a long non-coding RNA of Pyrus x bretschneideri (Chinese white pear), 1278 nucleotides long. RefSeq lists it as uncharacterized. Lineage: Eukaryota; Viridiplantae; Streptophyta; Magnoliopsida; Rosales; Rosaceae. The transcript is spliced from 3 exons. The record is from RefSeq and is a predicted model, not a curated record.